GACGAACGCUGGCGGCGUGCCUAACACAUGCAAGUCGAGCGAUGAAGUUUCCUUCGGGAAAUGGAUUAGCGGCGGACGGGUGAGUAACACGCGGGUAACCUGCCUCAUAGUGGGGAAUAGCCUUUCGAAAGGAAGAUUAAUACCGCACAUUUCUAAUCGUCUCCUGACGAAUGGAAGAAGGGUGGCUUCGGCUACCGCUUAUGGAUGGACCCGCGGCGUAUUAGCUAGUUGGUGAGGUAAUGGCUCACCAAGGCGAUGAUACGUAGCCGACCUGAGAGGGUGAUCGGCCACAUUGGGACUGAGACACGGCCCAA
This 314-nucleotide ribosomal RNA is filed under the name uncultured bacterium. RNAcentral's name for it is "bacterial SSU rRNA". It matches the Rfam family "Bacterial small subunit ribosomal RNA", at positions 28 to 334 of the family's 1533-position model. The record is from RNAcentral.